GGACUACACGGGUAUCUAAUCCCGUUCGCUCCCCUGGCUUUCGUGUCUCAGCGUCGGUACGCCCCCAGCAGACUGUUUUCACCUUUGGCGUUCCAGGCGAUAUCUACGCAUUUCACCGCUCCACCGCCUGUUCCGUCUGCCCCUGAGCGACCCAAGCCCGCCAGUAUGCCCAGCAGUUCCCCGGUUGAGCCGGGGGAUUUCACAAGACACUUAACGGGCCGCCUACACACGCUUUAAGCCCAGUGAUUCCGCCUAACGCUCGGCACCUCUGUCUUACCGCGGCUGCUGGCAC
RNAcentral lists this ribosomal RNA (292 nucleotides) under uncultured bacterium. Its description in RNAcentral is "partial 16S ribosomal RNA". The record is from RNAcentral.